AACGAACGCUGGCGGCAUGCCUAACACAUGCAAGUCGAACGAGACCUUCGGGUCUAGUGGCGCACGGGUGCGUAACGCGUGGGAACCUGCCCUUAGGUUCGGAAUAACUCCCCGAAAGGGGUGCUAAUACCGGAUAAUGUCUUCGGACCAAAGAUUUAUCGCCUUUGGAUGGGCCCGCGUUGGAUUGGCUAGUUGGUAGGGUAAAAGCCUACCAAGGCGACGAUCCAUAGCUGGUCUGAGAGGAUGAUCAGCCACACUGGGACUGAGACACGGCCCAGACUCCUACGGGAAGCAGCAGUGGGGAAUAUUGGACAAUGGGCGAAAGCCUGAUCCAGCAAUGCCGCGUGAGUGAUGAAGGCCUUAGGGUUGUAAAGCUCUUUUACCCGGGAUGAUAAUGACAGUACCGGGAGAAUAAGCUCCGGCUAACUCCGUG
RNAcentral lists this ribosomal RNA (433 nucleotides) under uncultured bacterium. Its description in RNAcentral is "partial 16S ribosomal RNA". It matches the Rfam family "Bacterial small subunit ribosomal RNA", at positions 29 to 507 of the family's 1533-position model. The record is from RNAcentral.